AGCGGAGGAAAAGAAACCAACAGGGAUUGCCCUAGUAACGGCGAGUGAAGCGGCAACAGCUCAAAUUUGAAAUCUGGCCUCGGCCCGAGUUGUAAUUUGCAGAGGAUGUUUCUGGCGCGGUGCCUUCCGAGUUCCCUGGAACGGGACGCCACAGAGGGUGAGAGCCCCGUAUGGUUGGACACCAAGCCUGUGUGAAACUCCUUCGACGAGUCGAGUAGUUUGGGAAUGCUGCUCUAAAUGGGAGGUAAAUCUCUUCUAAAGCUAAAUACCGGCCAGAGACCGAUAGCGCACAAGUAGAGUGAUCGAAAGAUGAAAAGCACCUUGAAAAGGGGGUUAAACAGUACGUGAAAUUGUUGAAAGGGAAGCGCUCAUGACCAGACUUGUGCCGGGCGGCUCAUCCGGGGUUCUCCCCGGUGCACUCCGCCCGGCUCAGGCCAGCAUCGGUUCUCGUUGGGGGAUAAGAACGGUAGGAACGUGGCCCUCCCUCGGGAGGGUGUUAUAGCCCGCCGUACGAUACCCUGACGGGGACCGAGGUUCGCGCUCCGCAAGGAUGCUGGCGUAAUGGUCAUCAGCGACCCGUCUUGAAACACGGACCAAGGAGUCGUCCAUUAGAGCGAGCGUUUGGGUGUAAAACCCGCACGCGUAAUGAAAGUGAAAUUAGGUGAGAGCUUCGGCGCAUCAUCGACCGAUCCUGAUGUUCUCGGAUGGAUUUGAGUAAGAGUUUUAACGGACGGACCCGAAAGACAGUGAACUAUGCUUGUAUAGGGUGAAGCCAGAGGAAACUCUGGUGGAGGCUCGCAGCGGUUCUGACGUGCAAAUCGAUCGUCAAAUAUGAGCAUGGGGGCGAAAGACUAAUCGAAC
RNAcentral lists this ribosomal RNA (861 nucleotides) under Harknessia banksiae-repens. Its description in RNAcentral is "eukaryotic LSU rRNA". It matches the Rfam family "Eukaryotic large subunit ribosomal RNA", at positions 49 to 940 of the family's 3401-position model. The record is from RNAcentral. Lineage: Eukaryota; Fungi; Ascomycota; Sordariomycetes; Diaporthales; Harknessiaceae.